RNAcentral lists this ribosomal RNA (659 nucleotides) under uncultured Eubacteriales bacterium. Its description in RNAcentral is "bacterial SSU rRNA". It matches the Rfam family "Bacterial small subunit ribosomal RNA", at positions 60 to 722 of the family's 1533-position model. The record is from RNAcentral. Lineage: Bacteria; Bacillati; Bacillota; Clostridia; Eubacteriales.
AGUCGAACGAUGAAACUUAAAUGAUUUCUUCGGAAUGAACUUAAGUGGAUUAGUGGCGGACGGGUGAGUAACGCGUGAGUAACCUGCCUUACACAAGGGGAUAGCCGUUGGAAACGACGAAUAAUACCCUAUGAAACUAUCACUUCGCAUGAAGCGAUAGUCAAAGUGUUAGCGGUGUAAGAUGGACUUGCGUCUGAUUAGCUAGUUGGUGAGAAAAAAGCCCACCAAGGCAACGAUCAGUAGCCGGCUUGAGAGAGUGUACGGCCACAUUGGGACUGAGACACGGCCCAGACUCCUACGGGAGGCAGCAGUGGGGAAUUUUGCACAAUGGGGGAAACCCUGAUGCAGCGACGCCGCGUGAUUUAGAAGGCCUUCGGGUUGUAAAAAUCUUUUGUAUAGGAAGAAAAUGACAGUACUAUACGAAUAAGGUCCGGCUAAUUACGUGCCAGCAGCCGCGGUAAUACGUAAGGACCGAGCGUUGUCCGGAAUCAUUGGGCGUAAAGGGUACGCAGGCGGGUCAUUAAGUUAGAAGUCAAAGGCUAUAGCUCAACUAUAGUAAGCUUCUAAAACUGGCGACCUUGAGUAAUGGAAGGGAAAGUGGAAUUCCUAGUGUAGCGGUGGAAUGCGCAGAUAUUAGGAGGAAUACCGGUGGCGAAGGC